GUGUCAGCAGCCGCGGUAAGACGAACCGUCCGAACGUUAUUCGGAAUCAUUGGGCUUAAAGGGUGCGUAGGCUGUGCAGUAAGUUGGGUGUGAAAUCCCUCGGCUCAACCGAGGAACUGCGCCCAAGACUGCUGUACUAGAGGAAGAUAGGGGUAAGCGGAACUGAUGGUGGAGCGGUGAAAUGCGUUGAUAUCAUCAGGAACACCGGUGGCGAAAGCGGCUUACUGGAUCUUUUCUGACGCUGAUGCACGAAAGCUAGGGGAGCGAACGGGAUUAGAUACCCCGGUAGUCCUAGCCGUAAACGAUGAGCACUUGGUCGGAGGCUCUCCCAUAGGCUUCUGGCCGUAGCGAAAGUGUUAAGUGCUCCGCCUGGGGAGUAUGGUCGCAAGGCUGAA
This 395-nucleotide ribosomal RNA is filed under the name uncultured bacterium. RNAcentral's name for it is "bacterial SSU rRNA". It matches the Rfam family "Bacterial small subunit ribosomal RNA", at positions 505 to 898 of the family's 1533-position model. The record is from RNAcentral.